CAUCGAUUUCAAAAUUUGUUAAAAUUACAAAUAGUAAUUAUAUAUGGAAACUAUUUAUGUAUAUACAUAUAGGAUAGAAAUAAUUGUCAAUCUUUUUAAUUUAGCUUCUAAUAUUUAUAUAGAGAUCAGUUCAACAAGAGCUGCAACUUUUGAGACACUCUGUAUGCGUGUAUACACGCAUUUAUUUCAUCUCUCUCUUUCUUUGUAUCACACUUCACGUUCUAUCGAAAGAUUAUUCCAUAUAUAUGCUUUGUAGUUGCAUCUGUUAUAUUUGGCAUUAUUUUAGAACUAAAUGUAAAAUUGUUUGUAUAAAAUAAAUAAAACAAAAAUAAAAAAUUACAAUAUAAAAAUUACAUGCGGUACCAGUAUAAGAAAAUUAGAUAAUUACAAUCGACACUAAUCCUACAACGUGAAAUUAGUACCACGCGAUUGAAAUGGCGUUUGUUUCGAGUUACAGGCGGCAAAUUCAAAAGAUUGAAUGUUGUUAAGGCUACGUUCCAAAACGCAUCCACCGAAGAAAAUUUUACUCGAUGGCUCUUGAAACUUUUUUGAGCAUUUCUGAUUGGUUCAAUCAAGUAAAAUUUUUCUUGGAGAAAAUUUUACACCACUUUGAAAUCUAAGCCUGAGACGGGAAACGUGAAAUCGAUUUUCAAUCAGUUGGAAAAAAAAAGAACAAUCGCAUUAUCAUUGCAAGCAAUCAGAAUUUAUAACAAAAUGUUACAAAUUUGCAACUCUAUUAGCAUAAAUAUGGCUCAAUUAAUUUUUCUCGAAAUCUUUUUUUUUUCCCCUCUUGCGCGGGGUUAAAUAGGAUCGUUUGGAAAGUAAUUUCGUUUCUUCUUUCUAAAUAAAAAAAAAAAAAAAUUAAAAACGAAAUUACUUUCCGAAUGACCUAUUAGUAUAUAUUUUUGUACUUACUUCUUUUGUUUUUUCCUACAAAUGCGAAGAGAAGAGAAAGUAUGCACCUUACCUAGGGUAAUCAUUUUAUUACCCAAUUGUAUUAAUCGAAUUCACACAAGAUAUCCGAUCAUCGUCACAAUUUAUUAUUGUAAAUGUUAUUUACACAUGUACCUAAGCUUCAAACAGUUUCAUAAAGUUUUCCUGUUUUUCUCUUUUGUUUCUGUCUCUAUGAUGGACAAGAGGUGAAUGGUUCGGCUGCGAUUAUUUUCUUCAAUUGUAUAACAAAUAUAUAGUAAAUAAUUAAUAUUAGUUCGUAAUUAAGAAUAUGAGAACGCACAAAUAUAACAUAAUAAUAUGAUUAAACUCAUUCGUUCUGUCUUCCCUCCCGGCGCGCCACGUUCCUCACUUCUUUCGAUUUAUCGUAAACUACAUAUAUGUAUACAUAUAUGCAUAUAUGUAUGUAUACCUAAAACACUGUAUCAAUAUAUAUUCGAGAUAUUUCACUUAAGUGUAACAUUUCUCAUAGAUCGACUUCAGUUUCGAAAGGGAAGUCUCUCUCUCUCUCUCUCUUUUUCUAUGUAUACAUAUAUAUAUAAAGUCAAACUUAGUAUGUCCUAGAGAUGAUUUUUUUUUAGUACGAUGCGUUUAUUUAAAUAGAAAUAUACCCUUCCUGUUUAAAGUUUCUUACAUCUUACAUAUGACAAGUGAUAAAACCUGCCGGUUACGAGAGGAAGGAUUGCUCUUCUUUUCCAAAUAUCGUAUAAAACUUAUAAAACAGAAAGUGCGUUUAAAAUUUACGCCUAAAAAGAGAUAUUAUACAGGUUCGCGCGUGUAUCGAUGCUACAUCCAGCCUCCCUUAGGCCUUUAACGCGACAUCGAAAUCGAUAUCGCAACCCGCAUUCCUACUUUCUGUGUACAGCAAAAUUUUUUUUUUUUUUGGUAAAUGUCUUUAAUUUGGAUUUAAAGAGAUUGAAACUGUUAUUUGAAAUAGAUGCUAUUCUUCAAACAUGCUUGCUGGUCCGUUUAAACUCUCUCUCUUUCUCUUUAAACUCUUUUUCAAUCUUCUUCUUUAUAUUCUUCCAGUGAUCUUCAGUUGAGUUCAAGCUUAUUAAUAAGUUCAUGGAAGAGAACUUAUGUUUCCUUCUUCACAAAUCAAUUAUCCGUUGGCCAGUGUCUCGAACUAGUUACAGAAAAAUGGCUUCCCACAUCUUUUCAUGGCUUGAAUGCCACUUGUUACAUGUUCCAUAUUGGCAUAUAUUCAUACACAUGCAAAAAUGCAUAUGUAUAAAAAAAAAAAAAGAUAA
Cataglyphis hispanica is the source of this 2201-nucleotide long non-coding RNA. RefSeq lists it as uncharacterized. The record is from RefSeq and is a predicted model, not a curated record. The transcript is spliced from 2 exons. NCBI's taxonomy places the organism in Eukaryota, Metazoa, Arthropoda, Insecta, Hymenoptera, Formicidae.